GGCCUUUCCUUCAUAUAGGUCCUUUUCCAUGAUUAGUUGAUGGUUAAAUAUGAGUAUUGAGGACCGUCAACAAGCUUCCCCAAGGUUAACCUUUGCUCGUCCCUGAGCAAAGCUAAAAUUAGCAAGAAAACAGGGGUUACUUUUAUGCCUCUUACUACAGGGUUUUUAAGUUAUCACUAAGGUCUUAAGUGAUUGAAAAAUAGAACGAUCAAGUCAAGCACUAUGUCUCAAGUUCUUCUGUCUUACCUUUGUUCUGGAGUUUUUUGUAAGUUUCCAAAAUAAAACUGAGGCAUUUGCCAUCUUCUAGAAAGAUAUAUAAGUAGAGCUUUAAAAGUUUUAGCAUAUUUACUUUGUAUUUUGCUAUGUCAAUGCUCGGAGCAAGGGAGAGGAAUGUCAUACUCCUAGAUCAAGACCUUUGACCUUUUUUAAAAGUUUGUCAUCUCUUACUGGCAUAUUGCUUAUUAGAGGGACCAUGGGCUAUCAUUUAUUUCUUUCUUUUUUUCUAUUCUCUCUCUUUUUUUCAAGUGGGCACCAAGUACCCCUAAGUCUACUAUCGGACACGUGUCCAUUUUUUCCACUCAGGUGGGUAUCUUUGUACCCCUAAUUCUACUUCGGACACUUGUCCAUUUUUACCUCUCGUCUCACUCUUUUUUUGAAUCAAAUUUUUGCAUAGUCCCAUGCCUCUAACGCAAUAUUACUUCGAAAGAGUGAUCUUUUAUAUUUUUAAAACAAAAAGAUCUUGAUCUUUGGAGCAUGAUAAUUCUCUCAACAGAAACUACAAGAAUUAACAAUGGAUUGAACAAAGCAAGUGCCCAAAGUUUUAAUAUUUAUAUCUUAUAAGACUCUAGGUAUUAUGUCAAACAGGAUCUCAUUUUUUUGAAUUUUUAGAUUUUCAAAAGAUAAAAUCUCCAGAACUCUAGGGAAACUUGGAACAAGUCAAAUAGUAGCUCCGACCUUCUCAUAUCAUGUUUGUCAAUUACCUAGACUUGGAUCAAACUUUAUUUUUAUUUUCUUUAAAACAUAGGAUUACACAAAACUAUUGUAUAUUACUCAAAAGAAAAACUUUGUUUGGUUUCAUGGUUAUGCAUUUUUUUAUUUAUUUCUGAAUACUAGUAAAUAAAACCAAGAAAGAAAAGUAAUACUUAUCUAGAUACACGUGGGGGUGCCUCCCCCGAGCUGGAUGUUGACAUAGUCGUUCACUCUUGUGGCCUGCAUGUUCAAUCUCAGUCUUCUUAAACCUCAAAAUCCUACACAACCCAAAUAGACAACAAAUCUCGUGGAGCAUGUUAAGGCUUAGGUAAUUGUCUAGAGCUUAUUAGAGCUAAAUGUGAGAAUUCUAUGAACUCAAUCAUAUCAAGUUCCUCUACCAGGUUGAUUCGUAGCUCGAGAUAGAUUUUCAAGCAUUGACCAUUUACCUUAAAAGUGUUACCUAUGUCAUCUUGGAUGGUAAUGGCUCCAUGAGUUGAAGUGUCAAUAACCUUGUAUGGUCCAUCCCACUUACUUCGUAGCUUACCAUG
RNAcentral lists this long non-coding RNA (1517 nucleotides) under Sorghum bicolor (sorghum). RNAcentral describes it as "long non-coding RNA (SBIC_LNC008453)". Lineage: Eukaryota; Viridiplantae; Streptophyta; Magnoliopsida; Poales; Poaceae. The record is from RNAcentral.